GAUGAACGCUGGCGGCGUGCCUAAUACAUGCAAGUCGAGCGAACAGACGAGGAGCUUGCUCCUCUGACGUUAGCGGCGGACGGGUGAGUAACACGUGGAUAACCUACCUAUAAGACUGGGAUAACUUCGGGAAACCGGAGCUAAUACCGGAUAAUAUAUUGAACCGCAUGGUUCAAUAGUGAAAGACGGUUUUGCUGUCACUUAUAGAUGGAUCCGCGCUGCAUUAGCUAGUUGGUAAGGUAACGGCUUACCAAGGCAACGAUGCGUAGCCGACCUGAGAGGGUGAUCGGCCACACUGGAACUGAGACACGGUCCAGACUCCUACGGGAGGCAGCAGUAGGGAAUCUUCGGCAAUGGGCGAAAGCCUGACGGAGCAACGCCGCGUGAGUGAUGAAGGUCUUCGGAUCGUAAAACUCUGUUAUUAGGGAAGAACAAAUGUGUAAGUAACUAUGCCCGUCUUGACGGUACCUAAUCAGAAAGCCACGGCUAACUACGUG
RNAcentral lists this ribosomal RNA (497 nucleotides) under uncultured bacterium. RNAcentral's name for it is "partial 16S ribosomal RNA". It matches the Rfam family "Bacterial small subunit ribosomal RNA", at positions 28 to 507 of the family's 1533-position model. The record is from RNAcentral.